RNAcentral lists this long non-coding RNA (1729 nucleotides) under Pongo abelii (Sumatran orangutan). Its description in RNAcentral is "lincRNA". Lineage: Eukaryota; Metazoa; Chordata; Mammalia; Primates; Hominidae. The record is from RNAcentral.
CUUUGAACUUACUUACACCAGUGGUUUGUAAGGGGCUCUCGUGCCUUUGGCCACAGACUGAAGGCUGCAAUCUCCAUUUUCCUACUUCUGAGGUUUUGGGACUUGGACUGAGCCACUACUGUCUUCCUUGCUCUUAAACUUGCAGACAGCCUGUAGUGGGACUUCACCUUGUGAUCAUGCUGCUGACUAACUUAAUGAACAGAACGGAUUAAAAUGGUGCAAGAGAAAAGGGCAUUUUUACACAAAUGAAGCAUUUUCUGUGUUCCAGUUCAGCUGUUCCAAUGACAUUUGGUGUUCUUCUCAAUGUGAAUUAUACAAGCAAGUUUCUGUAUCCAGACUGACGCAUCAACCAUGAUCUAGCAUUUGCAAGAUGUGUAAUUACUUUGACUUUCAAGAAAACAUCUUCUGAUCUAAGGAACUUCCCAAGAUAUCAAAGCUGGCUGGCUCAGGAAUACUCUCACAGUGAUGGCAGAAGAGCAAAUCUGAAAGUUCAAACACUCAAAUGUGCUUUAGAUUUCUGCAUGCAUCACGUGGGCUAACAACUGGUCGAAGCAAAUCACAUGGCCAAACUAAAAAUUAAAGGCCUGAAAGACAGACAAAGUGCUAUAUUGAAGGUUGCAGAAGAAUACAGAAGUUCUGAAUAGCACAGAAGCUUUCAUAAGCCAGGGAUUAUAAUGACCAACAGAGACUCCACAAAACCAUUUAUUCACAAGAGGAAAUAUGGCACGGAUUGGAUUAGAAGUGGAAAGACUAAUGCAUUUUUGUCCAUAAGGAUUAGAAGACAAAUGGUUCUCUCAGCACUGCAAGUGAGCACAACAAGGAAUCCAAAAGCAUUAUUUGUGUGAAGCAGUUUGUAGAAUUUGUUCCAUUUGUCACUAGAACUAGUGUUUGAAGCUCAGCAAUAGUUGAGGUAUGGUUAAGCCCCAGGGUCAAUGGCCACAUGUUCAGAGCAAUACCUUAGGUUUAAAGCUGAUUCACAACCUGAAAAACACUCAGUGGUAUUGUCUCUGCCAAAUUAUCAAUCAUUAACUUGUGGUGUCUUAAAAAGAGGGUAGAAGAUUACUUGACCAGAAAAUAAUGACAAUAAAAAGGAAAUUAUAUAUAGGGUGUUUAUGUGUUACACGUAUAAUACAUAUUGUGAAUUUUCCCCCAUGAUAACUAUUAAACAUGUUUAGUUAAUAGUUAAAUAUCCAUCUUUGAGGGCUUUUAAAUUUUAUUUAUAUUUAUUUGUUAACUUUGAAGUUGAGACUGCAUGCAAAGGCUGUUCCAUUUCAAGUAAAUAGUGUCUCAGUAGCUGUUUGAUUUACCUUAAAAAGGAAAACAAAAUGACACACCUUCCAACCCAUAGACUUUCAGUGCUCUUUGAAAUACAACAAUAAGUAGAAGAGGAGAAUUUGCAUAGUAUAGUGAUAUGAUUUGGCUGUAUCCCCACCCAAAUCUCAUCUUGAAUUAUGGUUCCUAUUAUCCCCACGUGUUAUGGGAGGGACCAGGUGAAAAUAAUUAAAUAAUCAGAGUAGUUUUCCCCAUCCUGUUCUCAUGAUAGUGAGUUAGUUCUCAUGAGACCUGAUGGUUUUAUAAGGGGCUUCCUGCUUUAUUAGGUGCUCAUUCUUCUCUCUCCUGCCGCCAUGUGAAGAAGGACAUGUUUUCUUCCCCAUCCACCAUAAUUGUAAGUUUCCUGUGUGUUCCCUAACCAUGUGGAAGUGUGAGUCAAUGAAACUUCUACCCUUUA